Zophobas morio is the source of this 2537-nucleotide RNA transcript. It is a transcript of the gene named E3 ubiquitin-protein ligase Topors-like, with no coding region annotated. The record is from RefSeq and is a predicted model, not a curated record. NCBI's taxonomy places the organism in Eukaryota, Metazoa, Arthropoda, Insecta, Coleoptera, Tenebrionidae. The transcript has 7 exons.
UUCAGAUGUUUUACGUCAAACUCCAUGAUAGCAAUCGGUACACAAAUCUCACAAAUUUCUAAGUUUUCGUGCAGUUUUCACCGCAAAAUUCCAUCCCAUCCGUCGAACCCCCUCAUUUUCGUCGUUUUUGUCAAAUGUCGUCGUCGCCCGCGCCCCGAGUGUGAGUAACGAUGGAAAAUUCGCGAGAAUUGCAAGGUCAAGACUAGUUGACAGAUCAACAUGACAUCCUUCAUCUCCACAAUACAGUUUUGAGAAUAAUUUCCUUGUCGAGUGAGUUAGUUGUGAGCAAUGGCAGACAGCAAGCUGGCGGUCCCUCGGUCGGAGACGGCGAGUCCACCCCCGCACUGUGCCAUCUGCUUGGGGACUUGCAAGAACAAGUCUCGUGCCAACUCCUGCAUGCACGAAUUUUGCUACACUUGUCUGUUGGAGUGGUCGAGGAUCAAAGCAGAAUGCCCCCUUUGCAAGCAAGAGUUCAAAUCCAUCCUCCACAAUAUCAAAUCGAUCAACGAGUACGACGUCCACAUCGUGGAGAACAUCCCGGUGGAGAACAACCGCUACCUCGACAACGCGUCCCUGAUCUACCUGCCCCCGGCGACGCCGCCGAUGCACCACUACCAAUUCCGAACGACACUCACCGUCGACUCGAGCGGCGAGCACGCCAUCCAGAAUUUGUUGCUCCAUCAUCCGUUACUCAUCGGCGGUUAUAACCCCGAAAGGUAUACGCACCACAGGAGGCGCAGAGGGGACACAUCGACGUCGUUCAGGAGGUCGGUGUAUGCGGAGAAUCUGUGGGUCUACGCGCCGCCGGACAUCACGGGCAGGUAUAGGGACGUGUCGCCGUCGUACUAUAGGAACAAUCCAGCGGCGCGGACUCGCCUCGUGCCGUGGCUGAACCGCGAACUGAACGCUCUUCUUCACGAGAACACCCAGCACGUGAUGCGGCUCGUGGACAUCAUCCUCGACCACCUCCUCCUCCACCACAUCUGCAGUUACAUGUUCCGCUCCCUCCUCUACGAAUACCUGAGCAACAAAACCGACCAUUUUAUUCACGAAUUCUACAAUUUCAUGAGAUCUCCGUACGAUAUGGUGGGUUAUGACCGGCACGUCAUCUACACGGAAAGGCAGCAGUCGUCGCCUAUACAUUUCAUCGACGAAGUCGACGUCUCGGACUACGAUAGUGACGUGAUUUUGGUCAGCGACACUAACAAUAACCAAGGUCAGGUCUCGGACCCCGUCAUCAUAGAUCUGGUGGAGACGGAUUCGGACGAACCGAUCAUAGUAUCGGAAGAAAGGAACGAGCCGAGGUGCGUCGAAGAAGAGAACCGAAAACCCAUUCUGCCCCUCAAACUUCGGAUAAAGAACCGACACAAGUCAAAAGAAAAGAGAAAAGCGAAGAAGCGGCAUCGACAAGUCACUUCCACCAGUUCGAGUAGUUCCAGCGAGGAGAGUUCGACGGAUUCAGACUGUGAUUACAAGAGAUACCAGCAGAAGAGGUUCUUAAAGAAGAUGAGGCGGGAAAAGAAGAAGAGGAAAGAGAGCUACUACGUCGAGAAAGUCAGUUCCGAGAACGAAGACGACUUACCCUUGGCUAGUUUCGCGCGGAAGAAGCGAUCAAAGCACAGUAAACACAAGUCACACACGGUCACCAGUGAAAAGAAAGAGAGAAGAUACAAAAGGGAGUACACUUCCGGUUCGAAUUCCGACGAGGAAAAUAAGACGGACAGUUCGAGUAGUGACGAAAGUUUUUAUAGUGAACAUAAACCGUACGUGAAAAGUAAGGUUAGAGAAGUGAGGGGGGAGGAUAAGCAUAGGGCGGGGCCGAGCAGCGGCCGCUUAAGGAACACGUUGAAGAAAGAGGCGUCGACGAAUUUGUGGUAUUCCAGGCCUUCGGCGUACGAUUCGGAUAGUUCUGAUAGUUAAAACGCAGAUGAUGUACAGCAUAUUUAAUUUUUUUUUCCCCUGAUUAUUUUAUAUUUAUGGUCAAGUUUACAUGAUUUUUUUCUGUAAAGUCACUUCCAGUGAAAGAUCCUCAGAGGUGUAUGUUGGAGUUGCGGGGGCGUGGCGUAAACACAACAACCACAUUCACGCGAGGGAAAAAUGAACGAUGCAAUUCAGUUGGUCGAUUUUGGGUGGUAUUGGCGAAUCGCAACGGCGGAGGCGUGGUCUAUGUUUAUACGCAUGUAGCGUUUCCAUCAAGUACAUAAUAAAUUUAAUUCAGGAGCAUAAAGGUAUUAAUUAUAAUCUAGGGUUUUCUCAUAAAUCAGUCUACUUUUUAAGUACGUGGCCUUCAAACCUGUAACGUCACACACAAGUCGUAAUGUGUUAAUUUAUGUAUUUAUUUUCGUUUAAUUACUCUAGGUUCACAGCAUAUUGAGACUAUGCCACAUGUAACACCACUUAGAAGUAGAAAACCAUAAAACAAUCAUAACAACUCUAAACUGAUGGGAAAGUACAACUAAACAAAAUCUUUCUUACACAUAUGUACACUAAAAUUGAUAUACGAGUAACAAUACUGAACAUUAAAAUUGGAUUUUAAA